Molecule: long non-coding RNA, 283 nt
Organism: Mugil cephalus (flathead mullet)
Lineage: Eukaryota; Metazoa; Chordata; Actinopteri; Mugiliformes; Mugilidae
Exons: 3
Source: RefSeq, a predicted model, not a curated record
GGAUAUCACACACUACAAACAAGACAAGACAUUGCAUCUAUCUACUUCUGAUACAGAAACAACUCUGCAGAUAUCUGUGAGAGACAAGCCAAACUUUCUUUAGUUUAAACUCAGUUCAAAUGGACAGAGACAGAUCACGCAUGAACUCCUUUGAUGGAGACGAACACCUCCACCAGCUUGAUUUGGUGGAGGCUGUUGCACAGAGCGGUAGGUUCCAUGAAGAAGAGAUCGCAUGGCUGCGGUUCUUCAUCAGUAAUGGACAGGAGCAUGAAGCCAUCGCUUA